CCCCUUUAAAUUUCUAGAAAAAAGACUUAUACUUAAGAUGUCAGGGUAACUUGACUAUAGUGAUAAACGUCCUACGGAAUAGGCGUUACGGACUCGGGGGCGGAACCCGGCACCUCCACCAUUAAGGUAUUGAUUAUGGGGGUGAAUUAGGAUCGACGUGCGUAGUAAAGGUUAGAUUUUCACUCGGCAUGGUACCACCGUUAUCGGACUAAACACAUAAAUGCAAAAGAUUUUAAUGCAUUUGGUCGUGGAGCGGCAAACUUUAGUGCGCUCAACUCCAACGAGGUUAAUGUCGCUGCAGCUGCAGCCGCUUAACCUUAAGGUGAUCGCGGUUCGAGGGGCACCGGGCAACAGAAGCCCCUCAUU
Molecule: transfer-messenger RNA, 366 nt
Filed under: Alphaproteobacteria bacterium
Lineage: Bacteria; Pseudomonadati; Pseudomonadota; Alphaproteobacteria
Rfam family: Alphaproteobacteria transfer-messenger RNA
About the family: Bacterial tmRNA, also known as 10Sa RNA or SsrA, is named for its dual tRNA and mRNA-like properties.
Source: RNAcentral